CUAUUACUUACCCGUAUAUGUAUGGAUAUAGAACCUCUAAAAUAAAUCACACUUAAGUUUUUCACGGUGGUUAAGGCAAGAUGAUUUAUUUAAGCGCAGACAGCGGCUUUGAUAAACAAUAAACUAUUUUAAAAUGUCAGCACCCUCUAAAAUUAUGAACAAUUUCCGCCUGUGAUAAUUUGGGUAUCAAAUUGAAAAAAUUAUUGUAAUAAAAGUCGAACGAUUUUAUAUAAUGUAAAUGAUGUAAAAAAAAAAAAAAAAACAGGAAAAAUCGACGAAGAAAAUCGCUGGUUCGUGAUAAAUGGAUUACCCAGUAUUCACGAAUAUCACGUACAUUGUAGACUAUCUCAAAACCGAAACGACAAUACUAUUCUGAUUUCGAGAUUUUUCGAUAAGUACGUACGUCUUGGGCGAGAUAAAUAAUUUCUCCUCGUAAUGCCAGCGACGGUUUUAAUAUAAUAUUACGUUAUCCAAUAUCAUAGUUCGACAUGCAUCACCUCGCGCAACGUCACGAACCUAGUGAUCCGCGGGGGCACGAUGAUGGGUGCGUCGUGUGCAUACCUGUAAGUGCUAUUCGGUCGAUUAAUAAUUUUUACUUUGCUCGGCCAUUAAAAAUUUAUUUUAAUACACAUGUAUAAAUUAUUUUACAGUCAAAUACGAUCGGAAUGGCGACCGACCCGAUAGCGUAUUUACAGACGUUUACAAUGUGUGUACGAGUUGAUUUUAGGAAGUUUUAAAACAGUUUUACAAGGCAUUUUCUACUUGCUGGACCAAAUCUGGUAAUGCUGGAAGUUAGAGUUCUAAGUGCGAAACUAUAACCUACACUAGUUAUUCUUUGACGAAAAGCCACCUCAGAUUUGGAUAAAGCAGCGGGAAAACGGAAAAACAUAACCGAAUACCUUGCACCUUUAAAACAAGACCACCAUAGCUCGAAAUUCGGCAUUUUCGACAUAUCAGUAAAAUCGCAAAAAUAUUCUCUAAAAAAAAAUUAGACCUCCACAACGGAAUAUACUAGUAUUAUCUACGACGCCACAGUAGUGUGUAUUUUUAACUUGUUUUCCUUUUAAUGAAAGCAAUACUAUCACGUUUUUCAAUAUCGUUGUAUUGUUUUGCGAUAAAUUACAUUUUAAUGAUAUUCUGAAAAUUCAAAACUGCCACGAUUACCAUUUACGGAGUUUACAGUUAAUUUGUUAGUACUAAUAUUAAUAAUGACGACUUUCCAUUAAAUAAAAUGUAAUACAGCCCCGAAUCAAAUUAUGGCGGCCGCACUCCGCUAGAGUUUAAAACGAAAAUCCAUCAUAAUUAGUACAUGCAUUUUAGUGCACUUAAAAUCCACAAAAAAACAUUUAUAAACGCCAAAAAAGCUCUAAAACUCACUUAAAAAUAUUUAAAAGAGCAAUAAAGGAGUUUAAAAGUUUCCCCUUAUCUGGUUUCUAACUUAUUAGAAAUAAUUUUUUAAC
Cinara cedri is the source of this 1460-nucleotide non-coding RNA. NCBI's taxonomy places the organism in Eukaryota, Metazoa, Arthropoda, Insecta, Hemiptera, Aphididae. The record is from the annotation of a GenBank genome assembly.